Molecule: microRNA precursor, 108 nt
Filed under: Canis lupus familiaris (dog)
Lineage: Eukaryota; Metazoa; Chordata; Mammalia; Carnivora; Canidae
Also listed under: 1 other name
Description: mir-8834 microRNA precursor family
Rfam family: mir-8834 microRNA precursor family
Source: Rfam by way of RNAcentral
AGGAAGAACAACCACAGUGGCGGCCGCCAGCUCUGGAGCCCUGGGUACAGCUCCCGCAGUAACCACAGAGCUCUCCGUCUGCAGGGGCCUGGAUGCUUCGGGGGCGGG